UGAAGACUCUGCUUGACUAGCUGAGAGGAGGUGCAUGGCCGUCGUCAGUUCGUACUGUGAAGCAUCCUGUUAAGUCAGGCAACGAGCGAGACCCACGCCAACAGUUGCCAGCAUGAUCUCCGGAUUUGAUGGGGACACUGUUGGGACCGCCUCUGCUAAAGGGGAGGAAGGAAUGGGCAACGGUAGGUCAGCAUGCCCCGAAUUAUCCGGGCUACACGCGGGCUACAAUGGAUGGGACAAUGGGUUUCGACACCGAAAGGUGAAGGUAAUCUCCUAACCCCACCCGUAGUUCGGAUUGCGGGCUGCAACUCGCCCGCAUGAAGCUGGAAUCCGUAGUAAUCGCGUCUCACGAUGGCGCGGUGAAUAUGUCCCUGCUCCUU
RNAcentral lists this ribosomal RNA (380 nucleotides) under uncultured Methanocalculus sp. Its description in RNAcentral is "bacterial SSU rRNA". It matches the Rfam family "Archaeal small subunit ribosomal RNA", at positions 960 to 1338 of the family's 1478-position model. Lineage: Archaea; Methanobacteriati; Methanobacteriota; Methanomicrobia; Methanomicrobiales; Methanocalculaceae. The record is from RNAcentral.